CAAAGAAAAGACGGGCAGUGAUCAAUGAUGCCAUUAUAGUGGAUGCUCUGGUUUCAGUCACAGUGAACGGUCAGCAGAGACCAGCACUCAGCAUCUCCAGCAGAGUUCAAAAGUGCAUGUUAACUGAUAUGAACAGACACAGAAGAGCUCAUUUACAUCAGAGCAGGAACAAAGUACAGUGUGGAAAUGAGAGACGACUGUAGGCCUUUGAGAUGUGGGCAGUAACACGGACCAUCACACCACCACAGACUUCUUCUUUAAUUCUGAAGGUCAGGAUUCCCCUCAUUCAAGGUGGUAUAACUCAUCAUCCAUUGAAGGCCUAUAGAGGUAGAUGAAGGCAAAAAUAGCUGCUGCCACAAUGCACUCCCUGUAGACUUUUACUCAAGGGUCUGCUGGAGUGUGAGAACGGAUGGGAGUCAUGACAAAAUGGGAGGAAAUGUGUGGUGUCCAACAAUGCCCAUCUCCUCUGGGAGGAGGUGCAAAGGUCAAGGUGCUGAGUUAGUCACAUCCACCCACUGCCUACCUCACUAUCUGACUCUCUCCUGGAUGUUACAGCAACGAGCAACCAAAUGAAACUUACUGCCACCUUGAACAACAUUACAGGUUUCUCUGGUUUAGUAUUGUCGUAAAAUUGGACAAAAUGUAAGUAAACAACUCAAUAAAAUAAUCAACAAAGGUCUAGUCAUUUUUAUACUUUUUGUUGUAGGAAUGUGACUCAUAAUGGAGAGGAUUAUUAUCCUCAGGCAUCACAUUCAUCCUGAGGUAAGCACUAUGAUGGACCCUUUUCAGUUCCCUUACCAUGUCG
Acanthopagrus latus (yellowfin seabream) is the source of this 805-nucleotide long non-coding RNA. RefSeq lists it as uncharacterized. The record is from RefSeq and is a predicted model, not a curated record. NCBI's taxonomy places the organism in Eukaryota, Metazoa, Chordata, Actinopteri, Spariformes, Sparidae. The transcript has 3 exons.